Molecule: ribosomal RNA, 433 nt
Filed under: uncultured Coriobacteriaceae bacterium
Lineage: Bacteria; Bacillati; Actinomycetota; Coriobacteriia; Coriobacteriales; Coriobacteriaceae
Also listed under: 1 other name
Description: partial 16S ribosomal RNA
Rfam family: Bacterial small subunit ribosomal RNA
Source: RNAcentral
ACGGAAGGCAGCAGUGGGGAAUAUUGCGCAAUGGGGGAAACCCUGACGCAGCAACGCCGCGUGCGGGAUGAAGGCCUUCGGGUCGUAAACCGCUUUCAUCGGGGAAGACAUCGACUGUACCCGAAGAAGAAGCCCCGGCUAAAUACGUGCCAGCAGCCGCGGUAAUACGUAUGGGGCGAGCGUUAUCCGGAAUCAUUGGGCGUAAAGCGCGCGUAGGCGGCUGUCCAAGCGGGGCGUCAAAUCCCGGGGCUCAACCCCGGGCCGCGCCCCGAACUGGGCGGCUUGAGUCCGGUAGGGGGAGGCGGAAUUCCCAGUGUAGCGGUGAAAUGCGCAGAUAUUGGGAAGAACACCGGUGGCGAAGGCGGCCUCCCGGGCCGCGACUGACGCUGAGGCGCGAAAGCUAGGGGAGCGAACAGGAUUAGAUACCCUGGUA